GUUGGUGGGGGUGGGGGGCGUAUGGCGGCUAGGCCCAGAAGGCCACGAGGACCGCCAGCGCCAUGGGGGUCACUCUUCCUGAUGCCAUAGGUUGCAAAGGCCGAGUGGAGAAGUCGGGGGAUCCCAGGGGUCAACCCUUGGGAUCGUUGAUGGCGGUGGGCUAAUCCACCAACAGAGGGGGUCGCCGCUGGGUCAAGGCAAGGAGAAGAUCUUCAGGGCCUGGAGGUAGAGGGCCAGGACCCACAGGAGAGGGCUUACUGCGAGGAGCAGCCAUGGAUGGAUAAGGGGUUGAGGCCCCGGGGAUGCUGAGCCAUGCAGAAGUGGAAGUGACUGGCUACCAGAAUCUGACAACUCUAAACCCUUUUAAUAAGUGGGAUUAAGACCAGCAACUCCACUGCACAUGAGCAGUAGGGCUCCAGAGAACUCCAGAAGUGUGGCCAGACAUGAGGCGACUGGUGACCUAGCCACAGGGACUUGAGGAACCUGGUGGGGGUUGGAGCUGAGGGCCACCGGAUUGCUGCUUUUUUGUGAUGGGUCACCAAAGCAGUUUCCCUCCAGGGCCUUGCGCAAACAGCCCAGGACCUCUCCAGCCAAGCCGCAAGCAGUCCCGCCGCCAGACCAGCUGCGCCAAAAGGUACCGGGGACUCCAGGGAAGCCGCCAGCAAGCUAGGAGAGUUUGGCUCUGGGGCGCACGGACAGGUGCGCACACUCUCUGCAGCGGUCUCUGGCCCCGCGAGCGCCCAGAGGCUGGCGGUGGCGGGGAAGACUGACGCGCGGCAGCCGAGGCACUGGUGCCAAGAUCCCGGGCUCCAAAUUGGCAGCGCCGGGACCUGGGCUCCAGCCUCUGAUCCCUUAAACACCGUGUGCGUGUGCGACUUCCCUGAGUUCUCGCCCAGUCCCAUUCUGAUUACUUUCCACACAUUGCAACAGUGUCGCUACGGCGGCUGCUCUUGAAUCGCAAAAGU
Long non-coding RNA from Otolemur garnettii (small-eared galago), 965 nucleotides. RefSeq lists it as uncharacterized. The record is from RefSeq and is a predicted model, not a curated record. Lineage: Eukaryota; Metazoa; Chordata; Mammalia; Primates; Galagidae. The transcript is spliced from 5 exons.